CAAUACUUUGGUGGCGACCGGCGCACGGGUGCGUAACGCGUAUGCAACCUACCUUUAACAGGGGCAUAACACUGAGAAAUUGGUACUAAUUCCCCAUAACAUUCGAGAAGGCAUCUUCUUGGGUUAAAAACUCCGGUGGUUAAAGAUGGGCAUGCGUUGUAUUAGCUAGUUGGUGAGGUAACGGCCCACCUAGUCUUCGAUGGAUAGGGGUUCUGAGAGGAAGGUCCCCCACAUUGGAACUGAGACACGGUCCAA
This 255-nucleotide ribosomal RNA is filed under the name uncultured bacterium. RNAcentral's name for it is "partial 16S ribosomal RNA". It matches the Rfam family "Bacterial small subunit ribosomal RNA", at positions 76 to 334 of the family's 1533-position model. The record is from RNAcentral.